RNAcentral lists this ribosomal RNA (506 nucleotides) under uncultured bacterium. RNAcentral's name for it is "partial 16S ribosomal RNA". It matches the Rfam family "Bacterial small subunit ribosomal RNA", at positions 29 to 523 of the family's 1533-position model. The record is from RNAcentral.
AGUGAACGCUGGCGGUAGGCCUAACACAUGCAAGUCGAACGGCAGCACAGAGGAGCUUGCUCCUUGGGUGGCGAGUGGCGGACGGGUGAGGAAUACAUCGGAAUCUACUCUGUCGUGGGGGAUAACGUAGGGAAACUUACGCUAAUACCGCAUACGACCUACGGGUGAAAGCAGGGGAUCUUCGGACCUUGCGCGACUGAAUGAGCCGAUGUCGGAUUAGCUAGUUGGCGGGGUAAAGGCACACCAAGGCGACGCUCCGUAGCUGGUCUGAGGGGAUGAUCAGCCUCGCUAGAACUGAGACACGGUCCAGACUCCUACGGGAGGCAGGAGUGGGGAAUAUUGGACAAUGGGCGCAAGCCUGAUCCAGCCAUACCGCGUGGGUGAAGAAGGCCUUCGGGUUGUAAAGCCCUUUUGUUGGGAAAGAAAUCCAUCUGGUUAAUACCCGGGUGGGAUGACGGUACCCAAAGAAUAAGCACCGGCUAACUUCGUGCCAGCCGCCGCCGUAA